CUUCCGAGCUUCAUCCGGCGGCGAGAAAAGCCGAACAUUUUGGGCAUGGAGAGCUUCAAACAUAUAUAAGAAGGGAAGGAGCGGAGAUGUCAAGUCAACAAGCAGCAAGCAUAGCAAGAAUAAGGGAAUGUAGCGGGACAGAAAACCUAGAAAGAGGAGGAAAGGUAGUUGGAGAAGGGGCAAUAGAAGGUAGAAAGCAGAGGAGAGAUCUCUGGAGCCAUUUGGGGAAGGAAGCUGCGGUGGUAGGAGAGAAACGAGUUCAGAGCUCAAACAAAAUCCAGUUUCCAUUUUACUUUUUUUUUUUCUUUUUUUUUUUGUGAAAAUGGCAAUUUCAUAUAACUCUAACGUGAGUACACCUUGUCAUAUCAGAAGAAAGCAAAAAAUACAGUGGGGGCGGGAGCCCUGCCGUGGAAGUCCAACAAAAGUCCCCUGAAUAUCGUGCAACGUAAGAGGCGACCCAGUCUGCCACACUGUUCGCCUCCCGGAACACAUGUACUGCCUCGAAGUCGUCCAUCUCCAAGGCCAUCCUGCGGGUCUCCCGAAUGAGAGGAUGUCCAUCACCAUAUCUGUCCGCACCCUGAAUCCAGUCGAUCACUAUAGAGGAAUCC
Molecule: long non-coding RNA, 608 nt
Filed under: Phoenix dactylifera (date palm)
Lineage: Eukaryota; Viridiplantae; Streptophyta; Magnoliopsida; Arecales; Arecaceae
Description: long non-coding RNA (PDAC_LNC019080)
Source: RNAcentral